Salvia miltiorrhiza (redroot sage) is the source of this 396-nucleotide long non-coding RNA. RefSeq lists it as uncharacterized. The record is from RefSeq and is a predicted model, not a curated record. Lineage: Eukaryota; Viridiplantae; Streptophyta; Magnoliopsida; Lamiales; Lamiaceae. The transcript has 4 exons.
UUCAGUCAUACAAAGCUAGCUGAAGUGUUCAUACUUGUCAGCUGAAGAAGUCCACGAUCCUCAUCCAUCCAAGCCACCCCAUUUUUCUUUUAUAACCUACACCAUUCUUCACCCAAACCUCACCACUUCACCAUUUCUAAAUUCUGCAGUCUCAAUUUCACACAGCAAGUUAAGAAAUAAAUAUCUUCCACCACACCUAUUCAAGGUCCAGACGGGAAGUGAAAGCUAAAGAAGGAGGUAACUCUACGCCCCUAGUGGGAACGGAAUGAGGUUGAGCGGGUGAUGGAAUGGAGUGGAGUUGAGCGGAUGUACCUUUUGACAUAAAAUAAUAAUGUACCCUUGAGACGUAGAACAGUAAUGUAACCUUGAGUAUACAUCUUCAUAUGUAUAACUCAC